RNAcentral lists this ribosomal RNA (1513 nucleotides) under uncultured prokaryote. Its description in RNAcentral is "partial 16S ribosomal RNA". It matches the Rfam family "Bacterial small subunit ribosomal RNA". The record is from RNAcentral.
GAGUUUGAUCCUGGCUCAGGAUGAACGCUAGCGGCAGGCUUAACACAUGCAAGUCGAGGGGUAACGAUAGUGCUUGCACUAGGCGACGACCGGCGCACGGGUGAGUAACGCGUAUGCAACCUACCUUUAACUGGGGGAUAGCCCAGGGAAACUUGGAUUAAUACCCCAUAGUUUGCUUAGUUCUCAUGGACUGAGUAAUAAAGUUCCGGCGGUUAAAGAUGGGCAUGCGUGCCAUUAGAUAGUUGGUGAGGUAACGGCUCACCAAGUCAACGAUGGCUACGGGGUCUUAAAGGAUGGUCCCGCACACUGGUACUGAGACACGGACCAGACUCCUACGGGAGGCAGCAGUGAGGAAUAUUGGUCAAUGGAGGCAACUCUGAACCAGCCAUGCCGCGUGAAGGAAGACGGCCCUAUGGGUUGUAAACUUCUUUUGUAUGGGAAGAAACGCAGCUACGUGUAGCUGUUUGCCGGUACCAUACGAAUAAGCACCGGCUAACUCCGUGCCAGCAGCCGCGGUAAUACGGAGGGUGCAAGCGUUAUCCGGAUUCAUUGGGUUUAAAGGGUGCGUAGGCGGAUUAUUAAGUCAGGGGUGAAAGUUUGCGGCUCAACCGUAAAAUUGCCUUUGAUACUGGUAAUCUUGAGUACAUUUGAGGUAGGCGGAAUGUGAUGUGUAGCGGUGAAAUGCUUAGAUAUAUCACAGAACACCGAUUGCGAAGGCAGCUUACUAAACUGUAACUGACGCUGAGGCACGAAAGCGUGGGUAUCGAACAGGAUUAGAUACCCUGGUAGUCCACGCCGUAAACGAUGAUUACUAGUUGUUUGCAAUACACCGUAAGCGACAAAGCGAAAGCAUUAAGUAAUCCACCUGGGGAGUACGUUCGCAAGAAUGAAACUCAAAGGAAUUGACGGGGGCCCGCACAAGCGGAGGAACAUGUGGUUUAAUUCGAUGAUACGCGAGGAACCUUACCUGGACUUAAAUGUAGUAUGACCGACUAGAGAUAGUUUUUUCUUCGGACAAUUUACAAGGUGCUGCAUGGUUGUCGUCAGCUCGUGCCGUGAGGUGUCGGGUUAAGUCCCAUAACGAGCGCAACCCACGUUGUUAGUUACCAGCACAUAAUGGUGGGCACUCUAACAAGACUGCCGGUGUAAACCGCGAGGAAGGUGUGGAUGACGUCAAAUCAGCACGGCCCUUACGUCCAGGGCUACACACGUGUUACAAUGGCCGGUACAGAGGGCCGCUACCUAGCGAUAGGAUGCUAAUCUCCAAAACCGGUCUCAGUUCGGAUCGAAGUCUGCAACCCGACUUCGUGAAGCUGGAUUCGCUAGUAAUCGCAUAUCAGCCAUGAUGCGGUGAAUACGUUCCCGGGCCUUGUACACACCGCCCGUCAAACCAUGGAAGCCGGGGGUACCUGAAGUCUGUCACCGUAAGGAGCGGCCUAGGGUAAAUCUGGUAACUAGGGUUAAGUCGUAACAAGGUAGCCGUACCGGAAGGUGUGGCUGGAACACCUCCUUU